RNAcentral lists this transfer RNA (71 nucleotides) under bovine gut metagenome. It matches the Rfam family "tRNA". From Rfam's summary of the family: Transfer RNA (tRNA) molecules are approximately 80 nucleotides in length. The record is from RNAcentral.
GGGGUGUAGCUCAGCUGGGAGAGCGCUUGAUUUGCAUUCAAGAGGUCGUGGGUUCGAUCCCCAUCUCCUCC